Arachis ipaensis is the source of this 746-nucleotide non-coding RNA. The record is from RefSeq and is a predicted model, not a curated record. NCBI's taxonomy places the organism in Eukaryota, Viridiplantae, Streptophyta, Magnoliopsida, Fabales, Fabaceae.
UACAUAGCUUGAAGUGGUAUGCUGAUGUUCCUCAUUUAUUUGAAACUGUCUAUGUCGUGCCACAUUCCUACAAAAGCAUCACAUACAUAUUGAAAUUCUCAUCUCUGUAGAAACCUGAACGACUACUAUGGUCAAAAUUAAAUUGCAUGCUCAAGGAUAGAAGGAAUGAUAAUGAGAUUCAUAUAUGUUCAUGUAGAGAAGGUUGCUUGCCUCGUAUGAGGUGGAACUCAAAACAGACAACUACAUCAAUACAGAUAGACCUAUGACUGGUGGGCAGUUGAAGACAGCUAUUUAGAUGCGGCAGAGGCAGAAAAUGACUUCAUUUUUCACAAAUUAGAUGUUGUCAUUGAUUAGGAUUUUGCAUGAUGCGAUGAAGAUGCCACGGAAGAGCAGGUCUUGGUUCUUUAGAUUUCGAAAAAAGAAGUUCUAAGAACAUUUUCUUUGUGUAGGUCUUGGUUUCUAUUUCAGAAACUACUCCCAUCAUUUUAUACAUUAGAGAUGUUGAGAGGCUUGUUCUACAAUCACCAAGGUUAUACAACUUGAUACAUAAUGCUUCACUGCUUUUGAAAAUUGGUGGAAGCCAUCAAAAGGAUUGCUGAAUAUGUUGCUCAACUGAAAAAGAGUUGGAAAAGGACAUGGGGUGGCACUUAUUAGAAGCUUCUCCAUGAGAAAGGAGCUGUAUGAACAUGAUUGAGUUUGUAAUUUGUAGUUUAUAUUUUGAAGAUUUAUAAUUUCUUGUUUUUUUU